Molecule: ribosomal RNA, 302 nt
Filed under: uncultured bacterium
Lineage: Bacteria
Description: partial 16S ribosomal RNA
Rfam family: Bacterial small subunit ribosomal RNA
Source: RNAcentral
GCAGCCGCCGCGGGAAUACGGAGGGCGCGAGCGUUACCCGGAUUUACUGGGCGUAAAGGGCGUGUAGGCGGCCUGGUGCGUCCCAUGUGAAAGGCCACGGCUCAACCGUGGAGGGGCGUGGGAUACGCUCAGGCUAGAGGGUGGGAGAGGGUGGUGGAAUUCCCGGAGUAGCGGUGAAAUGCGCAGAUACCGGGAGGAACGCCGAUGGCGAAGGCAGCCACCUGGUCCACUUCUGACGCUGAGGCGCGAAAGCGUGGGGAGCAAACCGGAUUAGAUACCCCUGUAGUCCCUGUCUCUUAUAC